GAAUUACUUAAAUAAUUUCAAUACACUUAAUAAUGAUUUGGUUAUUUCAAACAUUUUACGAAUCAAUCAAAAUAAAGUUAGCCCGUUGUAAAGGUCGCGCUAUUUGUUUCCGUCCCUUUGUAAAUUGGGCUGGGCCUCAAAUAUGCACAGAUGCAAUUGGAUGAAUUAAGUUGGGCCUAAUCUGUAAAGGUUUAUAUAUUUAGCCUAUGUUUAGAAGCUUUGUUA
This 225-nucleotide unclassified non-coding RNA is filed under the name Hevea brasiliensis (rubber tree). The record is from RNAcentral. Lineage: Eukaryota; Viridiplantae; Streptophyta; Magnoliopsida; Malpighiales; Euphorbiaceae.